Daphnia pulicaria is the source of this 516-nucleotide long non-coding RNA. RefSeq lists it as uncharacterized. The record is from RefSeq and is a predicted model, not a curated record. The transcript has 4 exons. NCBI's taxonomy places the organism in Eukaryota, Metazoa, Arthropoda, Branchiopoda, Diplostraca, Daphniidae.
UUGGAAUUUGAAAUUUGGAAUUUUUGAAUUGCAGGUUGUGUGGCGUCAUUGCGAGGUACACGGAAGAGCUGUCAGUCAACUCGGCCAGCCUUUUCCAUUACAAGUGAGCGUCGUGGUGGUUUUCAUCAAUGGGGAAAUGACGACGACGUGGAAUGGAGAAAUCAUCUCUUGGGGAGCUGCCGGUUUUGCAGGCGAAAAUCUCAGGAGGGCGAGCCUUGACGUCAUGCUGUGCGGGAUCGAGAAACGAGGCGGAAAUCGGCUGGGCGGCUCGACACUAAAAAGAAGAAGCAGCCGAUAAAAUCAAGGAAGGAUGACCGCCUAUGCUGUUCCACCCGUAGACAACAUCAUCACCGAUGGAAUUCUCUUCAUGACCGCUAGACGGCAGCAGCUUCUGGUAAGGGCAAGCUAAAAAUAUACUCAUUUGGAAAAUUGUUGGCUAUCGUGAAAAGAAAUGCUCGUUUGAGAUUUCGCUUUAGUCCUGUGAAUUGUGGCAAAUUUGUGUUUUGCUGGAUUUCA